UACGUAGGUGGCGAGCGUUGUCCGGAUUUACUGGGCGUAAAGGGCGCGUAGGCGGGAUGGCAAGUCAGUCGUGAAAUCUCUCGGCUCAACCGAGAAACGUCGGCUGAUACUGCCGUUCUUGAGGGAUGCAGAGGAGACUGGAAUUCCCGGUGUAGCGGUGAAAUGUGUAGAGAUCGGGAGGAACACCGGUGGCGAAGGCGGGUCUCUGGGCAUUUCCUGACGCUGAGGCGCGAAAGCGUGGGGAGCAAACGGG
RNAcentral lists this ribosomal RNA (253 nucleotides) under uncultured bacterium. RNAcentral describes it as "partial 16S ribosomal RNA". It matches the Rfam family "Bacterial small subunit ribosomal RNA", at positions 524 to 776 of the family's 1533-position model. The record is from RNAcentral.